This 200-nucleotide ribosomal RNA is filed under the name uncultured bacterium. RNAcentral's name for it is "partial 16S ribosomal RNA". It matches the Rfam family "Bacterial small subunit ribosomal RNA", at positions 8 to 208 of the family's 1533-position model. The record is from RNAcentral.
AGAGUUUGAUCCUGGCUCAGGACGAACGCUGGCGGCGUGCCUAAUACAUGCAAGUCGAGCGGAUCUUCUCCUUCGGGAGAAGGUUAGCGGCGGACGGGUGAGUAACACGUAGGCAACCUGCCUGCAAGACCGGGAUAACAUUCGGAAACGAAUGCUAAAACCGGAUACGCAAGUCUGGGGCAUCUCGGACUUGGGAAAGA